ACGCACGCUGGCGGCAUGCCUAACACCUGCCAGUCGCACGAGACCUUCGGGUCUAGUGGCGCACGGGUGCGUAACGCGUGGGAACCUGCCCUUAGGUUCGGAAUAACUCCCCGAAAGGGGUGCUAAUACCGGAUAAUGUCUUCGGACCAAAGAUUUAUCGCCUUUGGAUGGGCCCGCGUUGGAUUAGCUAGUUGGUAGGGUAAAAGCCUACCAAGGCGACGAUCCAUAGCUGGUCUGAGAGGAUGAUCAGCCACACUGGGACUGAGACACGGCCCAGACUCCUACGGGAGGCAGCAGUGGGGAAUAUUGGACAAUGGGCGAAAGCCUGAUCCAGCAAUGCCGCGUGAGUGAUGAAGGCCUUAGGGUUGUAAAGCUCUUUUACCCGGGAUGAUAAUGACAGUACCGGGAGAAUAAGCUCCGGCUAACUCCGUG
Molecule: ribosomal RNA, 432 nt
Filed under: uncultured bacterium
Lineage: Bacteria
Description: partial 16S ribosomal RNA
Rfam family: Bacterial small subunit ribosomal RNA
Source: RNAcentral